Molecule: long non-coding RNA, 1011 nt
Filed under: Brassica napus (rape)
Lineage: Eukaryota; Viridiplantae; Streptophyta; Magnoliopsida; Brassicales; Brassicaceae
Description: long non-coding RNA (BNAP_LNC016971)
Source: RNAcentral
UUGAUGGGGGGGAAAUUAAAAUCAUGUAAUAAUAAAUAUUUCAAAAUGAUGUAAAUUUAGUUUUAAUAAAAUUGAAUUAUUUUCAACAUAGAUGAGUGAAUGUAAAUUGAAUCAUGAUAGUCCUUAGUUUAAGGUUUGGUAACAUAUGUUAUAGUAUUGUUGGUAUUUUUAAGGCUAGAUUUUGAAAUCUUAUUUUUUUAAAUUGAUCUAUAUGUGUUUAGUGACUAUCUAAUAACUUGAUUUAAACACUUUCUAAGUAUCUAUUAAGUUUAAGGAAGUAUUUUUUGCUUAAUUAUUUGAUUAGAUGGUCUGGAAGACUCACAGAAGACUUUUAGGGUUUCCGCCUAAAUUUUGAUAAAAUUUAGGGUUCCGGCCUAAAUUUUAGAAAAAUUUAGGUUUUUCGCCUAAAUCGAAGUCUUCCAGAAGUCUUCUAGGGGAAGUCUUCUCAUGUAUUGGAUCUUAAAAAUAUUUAAUAAAUUUUAUAAAAAAUAUUUUGAAAGGGAAAAAAUCAAAAUCAUGUAUUAAUAAACAAUUCUAAAUGAUGGAAAUUUAGUUUUACUAAAAUUAAAUUAUUUUUAACAUAGAUGAGUGAAUGUAGAUUGAAUCAUGACAGCCUUUGGUUCAGGGUUUGACAACAUAUGAUAUAGUAUUGUUGGUAUUUAAUAAGUUGGUCUGACAUUUAAUGAUUUUUGUUUUGCUAUUUAGUUAGUUAUUUGAUUAGGUUAGUGUUUGGAAGGCUUCGAGAAGAUUUCUGACAUAUUCAUUCCUAAAUUUUAGUAGAAUUUAAGUUUUUCGCCUAAAUUUUAGUAGAAUUUAGGUUUUCCGCCUAAAUCGAAGUCUUCUGGAAGUCUUAUCUCGUAUUAGAUCUUAAAAGUAAUUUAUAAAAUAUAUUUUGAUAGGGAAAAAUCAAAAUCAUGUAAAUAUAAAUAUUUCUAAAUGAUGUAAAUUUAAUGUUACUAAAAUUGAAUUAUUGUUAAUAUAGAUGAGUGAAUAUAGAUUGAGUUAUGAUAG